Molecule: transfer RNA, 68 nt
Filed under: Chydorus sphaericus
Lineage: Eukaryota; Metazoa; Arthropoda; Branchiopoda; Diplostraca; Chydoridae
Description: tRNA-Leu
Source: RNAcentral
GUUACAAUGGCGGAUAAACGCUUUAGACUCAAACUCUAACUAUGAGGGUGUUARCCCCUCUUGUAAUU